RNAcentral lists this long non-coding RNA (1025 nucleotides) under Homo sapiens (human). RNAcentral describes it as "non-protein coding lnc-PERP-2:9". The record is from RNAcentral. Lineage: Eukaryota; Metazoa; Chordata; Mammalia; Primates; Hominidae.
AGGAGGUGUCUUCAAAAGCAUCAAGGAAAAAAUAUCAAAUAUUUUGAUAUUUGAUAUCAAAUAUCAAAAUUUGCCAUGGUGCCCAGCAUGGUUCAAGAUCAUAAGUGUCAAGCACAUCAGGGCAAGAAUCUUCUGUUCCAUAUGCAACAUCUUCUGGCAGCCUUGUCCUUUUUCUGUCCUUGACGACUACAAUAACAAACAGCUGUUGCCGAGGCAUUGCUGUUGACGUGUUACCUUUGAAACCUCCCUCCUGUUAUGGAAUAAGCCUCUUCCAGAUCAUGGCUCAUUAUCAUCUAGUCUGACAAGCAGCCUUGUUGCCACGGAGACCCAAAGGGAUCAGGCGUGGCAUUUGCCUGCAUCAUCACCCCCUCCAGGGGAACUAUAAGGACUCUUCUGUGCGUCAUGCGUGGCUGUCCUGGGACUGGCUGCCACCAGACUUUUCCUGCGGGUAAAACCUAAACAAAUGAUCAGCUGCAGAUAAUAUCAAGACCUCUGUUUGAUAUGUUAAUAGUGACAGCCAGAUUUCCACAAUUAACAACGAGGUGGGAAGAAAACACUGUAGUCACCAGACUUGGGAGGAGAGGGUUUGUAUUCACAUAAACACAACCUCACGUCACUGCUUGCCACCACAAAGGGCUCUGUUCACUGUUUUGUUCUCAAAGAUCAUCCUUGCGCUCAUCCUCUGAUCUUGAAUUUCUACAUAACUUUCUCAGUUUAUAUGCCCUGUGGCAAGUGCAGCAAGCACUGUUUCCUGUUUCUAAACUUGUAGAAAAUCAUCCAUACAUCUUACAGUUGUCAGUUUUAACCAGAUAACAGUGGCACUUUGUUGCUGCUUUUUUAUCUUUAGCUUAGGUUAACAGGACCCUGGAAGUAAAGUUGUUGAUUUAUUCAAUAGAGUAUUCUCAAUUAAUUUGGCUAGAUUUCUACAUGAUUCAAAAUCUAAAAAAGUAGAAAUGCAUGCUUACAUGUCUAAGGCCUGAAAAAUUGGUAGUGACAUCCCAAAAUAAAUGAAGGUUUUAAAACAA